GAUGAACGCUGGCGGCGUGCUUAACACAUGCAAGUCGAACGAACCUUCGGGUUAGUGGCGGACGGGUGAGUAACGCGUGAGAAUCUGCCCUCAGGAGGGGGAUAACGGUUGGAAACGGCCGCUAAUACCCCAUAUGCCGCGAGGUGAAAUGAAUUUCGCCUGAGGAUGAGCUCGCGUCUGAUUAGCUAGUUGGUGUAGGUAAUGGCUCACCAAGGCAUCGAUCAGUAGCUGGUCUGAGAGGAUGAUCAGCCACACUGGGACUGAGACACGGCCCAGACUCCUACGGGAUGCAGCAGUGGGGAAUUUUCCGCAAUGGGCGAAAGCCUGACGGAGCAACGCCGCGUGAGGGAUGAAGGCCUCUGGGCUGUAAACCUCUUUUAUCAAGGAAGAAGAUCUGACGGGACUUGAUGAAUAAGCCACGGCUAAUUCCGUGCCAGC
RNAcentral lists this ribosomal RNA (438 nucleotides) under uncultured bacterium. Its description in RNAcentral is "bacterial SSU rRNA". It matches the Rfam family "Bacterial small subunit ribosomal RNA", at positions 28 to 512 of the family's 1533-position model. The record is from RNAcentral.